CCUACGGGUGGCUGCAGUCGAGGAUCUUCGGCAAUGGGCGCAAGCCUGACCGAGCGAGGCCGCGUGGGCGAUGAAGGCCUUCGGGUUGUAAAGCCCUGUCGAGAGGGAGAAAGGCGCAAGCUCGAUCUAUCUCUGGAGGAAGCACGGGCUAAGUUCGUGCCAGCAGCCGCGGUAAGACGAACCGUGCGAACGUUGUUCGGAAUCACUGGGCUUAAAGGGCGCGUAGGCGGGCCGCCAAGUCCGGGGUGAAAUCCUCCAGCUCAACUGGAGAACGGCCUCGGAUACUGGAGGUCUCGAGGGGGAUAGGGGCACGCGGAACUGUGGGUGGAGCGGUGAAAUGCGUUGAUAUCCAUAGGAACUCCGGUGGCGAAGGCGGCGUGCUGGAUCUCUUCUGACGCUGAGGCGCGAAAGCCAGGGGAUCAAACGGGAUUAGAUACCCUAGUAGUC
This 447-nucleotide ribosomal RNA is filed under the name uncultured Gemmata sp. Its description in RNAcentral is "bacterial SSU rRNA". It matches the Rfam family "Bacterial small subunit ribosomal RNA", at positions 338 to 795 of the family's 1533-position model. The record is from RNAcentral. Lineage: Bacteria; Pseudomonadati; Planctomycetota; Planctomycetia; Gemmatales; Gemmataceae.